RNAcentral lists this ribosomal RNA (253 nucleotides) under uncultured bacterium. Its description in RNAcentral is "partial 16S ribosomal RNA". It matches the Rfam family "Bacterial small subunit ribosomal RNA", at positions 524 to 776 of the family's 1533-position model. The record is from RNAcentral.
UACGGAGGGGGCUAGCGUUGUUCGGAAUUACUGGGCGUAAAGCGCACGUAGGCGGCUUUGUAAGUUAGAGGUGAAAGCCCGGGGCUCAACUCCGGAAUUGCCUUUAAGACUGCAUCGCUAGAAUUGUGGAGAGGUAAGUGGAAUUCCGAGUGUAGAGGUGAAAUUCGUAGAUAUUCGGAAGAACACCAGUGGCGAAGGCGACUUACUGGACACAUAUUGACGCUGAGGUGCGAAAGCGUGGGGAUCAAACAGG